CAGAGAAUAGUUAAAUUUAGAAUUCUGGCUUUGGGGGCCAGAGGCGGGGGUUAAAAUCCCCUUUCUUUGA
RNAcentral lists this transfer RNA (70 nucleotides) under Epiplatys guineensis. RNAcentral describes it as "tRNA-Pro". It matches the Rfam family "tRNA". Rfam says of the family: Transfer RNA (tRNA) molecules are approximately 80 nucleotides in length. The record is from RNAcentral. Lineage: Eukaryota; Metazoa; Chordata; Actinopteri; Cyprinodontiformes; Nothobranchiidae.